AUUGAACGCUGGCGGCAGGCCUAACACAUGCAAGUCGAGCGGAUGAAGGGAGCUUGCUCCUGGAUUCAGCGGCGGACGGGUGAGUAAUGCCUAGGAAUCUGCCUGGUAGUGGGGGAUAACGUCCGGAAACGGGCGCUAAUACCGCAUACGUCCUGAGGGAGAAAGUGGGGGAUCUUCGGACCUCACGCUAUCAGAUGAGCCUAGGUCGGAUUGGCUAGUUGGUGGGGUAAAGGCCUACCAAGGCGAGCAUCCGUAACUGGUCUGAUAGGAUGAUCAGUCACACUGGAACUGAGACACGGUCCUGGCUCCUACGGGAGGCAGCAGUGGGGAAUGUUGGACAAUGGGCGAAAGCCUGAUCCAGCCAUGCCGCGUGUGUGAAGAAGGUCUUCGGAUUGUAAAGCACUUUAAGUUGGGGGGAAGGGCAGUAAGUUAAUACCUUGCUGUUUUGACGUUACCAACAGAAUAAGCACCGGCUAACUUCGUG
RNAcentral lists this ribosomal RNA (484 nucleotides) under uncultured bacterium. Its description in RNAcentral is "partial 16S ribosomal RNA". It matches the Rfam family "Bacterial small subunit ribosomal RNA", at positions 30 to 507 of the family's 1533-position model. The record is from RNAcentral.